GCCUUGAAGAUCGGGGUGCUUGCACUCUGUGAAACAAGAUACAGGCUAGCGGCGGACGGGUGAGUAACACGUGGGUAACCUGCCUAAGAGAUCGGGAUAACACCUGGAAACAGAUGCUAAUACCGGAUAACAACAGAUGAUGCCUAUCAACUGUUUAAAAGAUGGUUCUGCUAUCACUCUUGGAUGGACCUGCGGUGCAUUAGCUAGUUGGUAGGGUAACGGCCUACCAAGGCGAUGAUGCAUAGCCGAGUUGAGAGACUGAUCGGCCACAUUGGGACUGAGACACGGCCCAAACUCCUACGGGAGGCAGCAGUAGGGAAUCUUCCACAAUGGACGCAAGUCUGAUGGAGCAACGCCGCGUGAGUGAAGAAGGGUUUCGGCUCGUAAAGCUCUGUUGUUGGUGAAGAAGGACAGGGGUAGUAACUGACCUUUGUUUGACGGUAAUCAAUUAGAAAGUCACGGCUAACUACGUGCCAGCAGCCGCGGUAAUACGUAGGUGGCAAGCGUUGUCCGGAUUUAUUGGGCGUAAAGCGAGUGCAGGCGGCUCGAUAAGUCUGAUGUGAAAGCCUUCGGCUCAACCGGAGAAUUGCAUCAGAAACUGUCGAGCUUGAGUACAGAAGAGGAGAGUGGAACUCCAUGUGUAGCGGUGAAAUGCGUAGAUAUAUGGAAGAACACCGGUGGCGAAGGCGGCUCUCUGGUCUGUUACUGACGCUGAGGCUCGAAAGCAUGGGUAGCGAACAGGAUUAGAUACCCUGGUAGUCCAUGCCGUANACGAUGAGUGCUAAGUGUUGGGAGGUUUCCGCCUCUCAGUGCUGCAGCUAACGCAUUAAGCACUCCGCCUGGGGAGUACG
RNAcentral lists this ribosomal RNA (851 nucleotides) under uncultured bacterium. Its description in RNAcentral is "bacterial SSU rRNA". It matches the Rfam family "Bacterial small subunit ribosomal RNA", at positions 61 to 884 of the family's 1533-position model. The record is from RNAcentral.